This 381-nucleotide ribosomal RNA is filed under the name uncultured bacterium. RNAcentral describes it as "bacterial SSU rRNA". It matches the Rfam family "Bacterial small subunit ribosomal RNA", at positions 524 to 904 of the family's 1533-position model. The record is from RNAcentral.
UACGUAGGGUGCAAGCGUUAAUCGGAAUUACUGGGCGUAAAGCGUGCGCAGGCGGUUAUGUAAGACAGUUGUGAAAUCCCCGGGCUCAACCUGGGAACUGCAUCUGUGACUGCAUAGCUAGAGUACGGUAGAGGGGGGAUGGAAUUCCGCGUGUAGCAGUGAAAUGCGUAGAUAUGCGGAGGAACACCGAUGGCGAAGGCAAUCCCCUGGACCUGUACUGACGCUCAUGCACGAAAGCGUGGGGAGCAAACAGGAUUAGAUACCCUGGUAGUCCACGCCCUAAACGAUGUCAACUGGUUGUUGGGUCUUCACUGACUCAGUAACGAAGCUAACGCGUGAAGUUGACCGCCUGGGGAGUACGGCCGCAAGGUUGAAACUCAA